This 660-nucleotide ribosomal RNA is filed under the name uncultured bacterium. Its description in RNAcentral is "bacterial SSU rRNA". It matches the Rfam family "Bacterial small subunit ribosomal RNA", at positions 758 to 1417 of the family's 1533-position model. The record is from RNAcentral.
AGCGGGGGGAGCAAACAGGAUUAGCUACCCUGGGACUCCACGCCCCUCCACGAUGUCUGGUGGUUGUCGGGGUCUUAACUGCCUUGGUAACGCAGCUAACGCAUGAAGUAGACCCCCUGGGGAAUACUGUCGCAAGAUUAAAACUCAAAGGAAGUGACGGGGACCCGCACAAUCGGUGGAUGAUGUGGAUUAAUUCGAUGCAACUCGAAAAACCUUACCUACCCUUGACAUGGUCAGAAUCUUUGAGAGAUCAGAGAGUGCUCGCAAGAGAACUGAUACACCGGUGCUGCAUGGCUGUCGUCAGCUCGUGUCGUUAGAUGUUGGGUUAAGUCCUGCAACGAGCGCAACCCUUGUCAUUAAUUUCCAUCAUUUAUUUGGGCACUUUAAUGAGACUGCCGGUGACAAACCGGAUGAAGGUGGGGACGACGUCAAGUCCUCAUGGCCCUUAUGGGUAGGGUUUCACACGUCAUACAAUGGUACAUACAGAGGGUCGCCAAUCCGCGAGGUGGAGCUAAUCCCAGAAAGUGUAUAAUAUUCCGGAUUGUAGUCUGCAACUUCACUGCAUGAAGUUGGAAUCGAUAGUAAUCGCGGAUCAGCAUGUCCCGGUGAAUACGUUCCCGGUUCUUCACACUCCGCCCGACACACCCUGGGAGGGGGUUU